GGGGGUGUAGCUCAGAUGGUAGAGCGCUUGCUUUGCAAGCAAGAUGUCAGCGGUUCGAUUCCGCUCAUCUCCACCA
Molecule: transfer RNA, 76 nt
Filed under: Rickettsiales bacterium Ac37b
Lineage: Bacteria; Pseudomonadati; Pseudomonadota; Alphaproteobacteria; Rickettsiales
Description: tRNA-Ala (TGC) (tRNA-Ala-TGC-1-1)
Rfam family: tRNA
About the family: Transfer RNA (tRNA) molecules are approximately 80 nucleotides in length. Their secondary structure includes four short double-helical elements and three loops (D, anti-codon, and T loops). Further hydrogen bonds mediate the characteristic L-shaped molecular structure. tRNAs have two regions of fundamental functional importance: the anti-codon, which is responsible for specific mRNA codon recognition, and the 3' end, to which the tRNAs corresponding amino acid is attached (by aminoacyl-tRNA synthetases). tRNAs cope with the degeneracy of the genetic code in two manners: having more than one tRNA (with a specific anti-codon) for a particular amino acid; and 'wobble' base-pairing, i.e. permitting non-standard base-pairing at the 3rd anti-codon position.
Source: RNAcentral